Molecule: ribosomal RNA, 301 nt
Filed under: uncultured bacterium
Lineage: Bacteria
Description: partial 16S ribosomal RNA
Rfam family: Bacterial small subunit ribosomal RNA
Source: RNAcentral
CAGUAGCCGCGGGAAUACGUAGGUGGCAAGCGUUGUCCGGAAUCAUUGGGUUUAAAGGGUCCGUAGGCGGUUUAGUAAGUCAGUGGUGAAAGCCCAUCGCUCAACGGUGGAACGGCCAUUGAUACUGCUGAACUUGAAUUAUUAGGAAGUAACUAGAAUAUGUAGUGUAGCGGUGGAAUGCUUAGAGAUUACAUGGAAUACCAAUUGCGAAGGCAGGUUACUACUAAUUGAUUGACGCUGAUGGACGAAAGCGUGGGGAGCGAACAGGAUUAGAUACCCCUGUAGUCCCUGUCUCUUAUAC